UACGAGGGGUCCUAGCGUUGUUCGGAAUCAUUGGGCGUAAAGCGGGUGUAGGCGGAUUGAUAAGUCAGAUGUGAAAGCCCUGGGCUCAACCCAGGAAGUGCAUUUGAUACUGUUGAUCUUGAGUGUGGUAGAGGCUAGUGGAAUUCCUGGUGUAGUGGUGAAAUACGUAGAUAUCAGGAGGAACAUCGGUGGCGAAGGCGGCUAGCUGGACCAACACUGACGCUCAGACCCGAAAGCGUGGGGAGCAAACAGG
RNAcentral lists this ribosomal RNA (253 nucleotides) under uncultured bacterium. RNAcentral's name for it is "partial 16S ribosomal RNA". It matches the Rfam family "Bacterial small subunit ribosomal RNA", at positions 524 to 776 of the family's 1533-position model. The record is from RNAcentral.